Molecule: long non-coding RNA, 891 nt
Filed under: Gossypium barbadense (sea-island cotton)
Lineage: Eukaryota; Viridiplantae; Streptophyta; Magnoliopsida; Malvales; Malvaceae
Description: long non-coding RNA (GBAR_LNC005266)
Source: RNAcentral
GAGCAUCACAUUCAACCAUCAGAUCUCAAAAGCCCAUUUCUUUCCCAAAGAUGACUGCCUGUAGACAUACCUUUGCUUCUGCAGUAGUCGAAUCCUUUGUCUUUCCUAAAGGGUAAGAGCAUGCUCCCAUAACAAAGCCUUCAUGAUUUCUUAAGAUAACCCCUGCAAUUGCUAUCGAGUUUUGUUGUGAAUAUGCAGCAUCAAAAUUGGCAUUGAUCUGUCCUCCUAUGGGGGGUAUCCAAAACAUCUCUCUUGGAAUGAUUCUAGUUUCUGUUAAUGACUGAACUUGCUCUAAUUCCUUAAAAUAAGGUAAAAUAAAACCGGCAACCUCUUGUACCCUUUCCUUCUUACCUUCGUGAUAAAUUAUAUUUCUGUUGUACCAUAUUGCCCAAAUAGUUAUUGCCAUGACUGUGCAUGUUUUAGUGUUAUUCAUUUGGAAGAAACUUGCUAACCAUUGUUUCCAUACUUGUCUUGUGUUUGAUUGCGAGGAAUCCAUCCCAACUUCCUAUAGAAUCUAUUUUAUGAAUCCACAAUCUCGAAAAAUGUGCUCCACUGUUUCUUCUCCAAAUAAACAAACUAGACAUUCAGCAUUGUUCCUGAGUCUUCGAAAUUUGAGAAUACUGAGUGUUGGAAUAAAAUUAUUGACCACCCUCCACAGAUGUAUUCUUAUUUUACUUAAGAUCGGGAGAUUCCAGAUCUUUGAAUAAAAUUCUUUAGUGAUAGUUUGGUCUGUAAUAUAAUUAUGUAGGUGUGGAUUCUUAGAUAUUAGCCAUUUGUAAGCACUUUGUUCUGUAUAUUCGCCUGAUUUGUCCCCUCUCUAGACUAGAACAUCCGGCUGUAUCCUAUUCACUAAGGGAAUCGACAAUACUACCUCUGUUUGCUCUACUUCGA